GAUGAACGCUGGCGGCGUGCCUAAUACAUGCAAGUCGAGCGAACAGACGAGGAGCUUGCUCCUCUGACGUUAGCGGCGGACGGGUGAGUAACACGUGGAUAACCUACCUAUAAGACUGGGAUAACUUCGGGAAACCGUAGCUAAUACCGGAUAAUAUUUUGAACCGCAUGGUUCAAUAGUGAAAGACGGUUUUGCUGUCACUUAUAGAUGGAUCCGCGCCGCAUUAGCUAGUUGGUAAGGUAACGGCUUACCAAGGCAACGAUGCGUAGCCGACCUGAGAGGGUGAUCGGCCACACUGGAACUGAGACACGGUCCAGACUCCUACGGGAGGCAGCAGUAGGGAAUCUUCCGCAAUGGGCGAAAGCCUGACGGAGCAACGCCGCGUGAGUGAUGAAGGUCUUCGGAUCGUAAAACUCUGUUAUUAGGGAAGAACAAAUGUGUAAGUAACUAUGCACGUCUUGACGGUACCUAAUCAGAAAGCCACGGCUAACUACGUG
Molecule: ribosomal RNA, 497 nt
Filed under: uncultured bacterium
Lineage: Bacteria
Description: partial 16S ribosomal RNA
Rfam family: Bacterial small subunit ribosomal RNA
Source: RNAcentral